This 133-nucleotide ribosomal RNA is filed under the name Bacillota bacterium. RNAcentral's name for it is "Firmicutes bacterium (gut metagenome) partial 23S ribosomal RNA". It matches the Rfam family "Bacterial large subunit ribosomal RNA", at positions 2789 to 2925 of the family's 2925-position model. Lineage: Bacteria; Bacillati; Bacillota. The record is from RNAcentral.
GAAGCCCCCCACAAGAACAGAUCUCCUGCCGCAAGGCUAAGACCCGUGGGAGACUACCACGUUGAUAGGUCGGAGGUGUAAGCAUGGCGACAUGUUGAGCUGACCGAUACUAAUAGGUCGAACACUUGACCAA